This 202-nucleotide ribosomal RNA is filed under the name uncultured Lachnospiraceae bacterium. RNAcentral's name for it is "partial 16S ribosomal RNA". It matches the Rfam family "Bacterial small subunit ribosomal RNA", at positions 302 to 521 of the family's 1533-position model. Lineage: Bacteria; Bacillati; Bacillota; Clostridia; Lachnospirales; Lachnospiraceae. The record is from RNAcentral.
GAACGGCCACAUUGGGACUGAGACACGGCCCAGACUCCUACGGGAGGCAGCAGUGGGGAAUAUUGCACAAUGGGGGAAACCCUGAUGCAGCGACGCCGCGUGAAGGGAAGAAGUAUUUCGGUAUGUAAAGCUCUAUCAGCAGGAAGAAAAUGACGGUACCUGACUAGGAAGCACCGGCUAAAUACGUGCCAGCAGCCGCGGU